AAAAUUUAAAAUAAAAAUACUAAAAUAGUAGAUAAAUAUUUAUUGAAACUUAAAUAAUUUGGCGGUAUUUUAGUUCAUUUAGAGGAAUCUGUUUAAUAAUUGAUAUUCCACGAAUAAAUUUACUUAAUUUAUAAUUUUGUAUAUCGUUGUUAUAAAAAUAUUUUUUAAUAAAAUUAAUAUUUAAAAAUUAAUAUAGUAAAUUAAAUCCGAUCAAGAUGCCGAUUACAAUUAAGAAUAUAAUGGAUUACAAUAAAUUUAUUUAAAUAUGGAUUUUAAUUUGUAAUAUUUAAUUGAAGGUGGAUUUAAAUGUAAUUUUAUUUAAUUUAAUAAAAUGAUUAAAAAUUAAAAUAUGU
This 353-nucleotide ribosomal RNA is filed under the name Sesamia pennipuncta. Its description in RNAcentral is "partial 12S small subunit ribosomal RNA". The record is from RNAcentral. Lineage: Eukaryota; Metazoa; Arthropoda; Insecta; Lepidoptera; Noctuidae.